Non-coding RNA from Rattus norvegicus (Norway rat), 10212 nucleotides. The record is from RefSeq and is a predicted model, not a curated record. Lineage: Eukaryota; Metazoa; Chordata; Mammalia; Rodentia; Muridae.
CAAUUCCUCACGCUGGGGUGACCCCCCAACCACAAAAUUACUUCGUUGCUACUUUAUAACUGUAAUUUUGCUAUGUUUAUGAAUCUUAAUAUAAAUAUCUUAUAUACAGGAUAUCUGAUAUGAAACCCCUGUAAAAGGGUAGUUUGACCCCUGAAGAGGUCGAGACCCACAGGUUGAGAACCUCUGUUUUAAGUACUGGCUGAACAUAGGGUCUUUGUUUUGUCUUGUCUUUGAGAUGGGGUCUCACGUAGUCCAGGCUAGCCUCUCCCCUUUGUCCUGAUGACUUUGAGCAUCUGGUCCUCCAGUCUCCACCUCCCAAGUGCUGGGAUUACACACACAGAACCCUGUGCUUAUGAGUGUAUUUAGGGAAACAAAGUUGUUUUACACAGGACUAGAGUGAUGUGGAAAGUUAGCAGCCCCCCCCCCCCCGUCUGUCUGCAAUCUACUUCCUAUUCUGUCUGUCCUCUUCUCCAUGCCUGCCCUCCUCCCUUGGCCAGUCUGCCUUCCUCUGUCCAGUCCCCAGGCAGGAAGGGAGGGAGGGAGGGAGACAGAUAGGCAGGCAGGCAGACAGACAUACAUAUAGACAGACAGACCAGGAAAAGAGUGGCAUGUGGCUGGCGGUGGGAUUUAGAGAACCAGGGCUGUGAUGCUUCUUAGGCACAAGGAGACCAUGUGUAAAACAUUAGCUAACAGCAGGUGUCAACCUAAGUGUAUGACCAGUCCAGACCCAAUCAAUAUCCCUCACGCACCCUUCGACCUUUACAUUUUCUGGCCAUAAGCAACAGCAACUAAAAUAUCCCAAACCUCAUCCAGCCAUGGUCCAGACAGUGGGCUCCAGGUCUCCUUCCUGCCGAAAUGCGACAGAGCCACUCUCGUUAGCAUGCUCUUCUCAGCCGUGAUUCAUGUUCUUCUGGGAGAAAAAAAUGUAUGUGCUCAAAAGACAGAAACUUGCUCUCAUUAUCACUUCAUAAGGAUCCCUGGGCCAGAAUACAGAGCUACAGACAUAGAUUUGUGCUCAACUCACAAGCUCCUUCUCCUCAGCUAUCUUCACUGAAAAUUCUGUGUUCGUUUAACUAGCAAGGAGAAUGGAGACAGGAAGUCACUUACGGAGGUGUGUGGACGGUCGACACAUUUACAUUUCUAUCCUGACCUGCUAAUACACAACCUGGAGUUGUGGGGCAAGAGCUGCCUUCAACCCAAACACUCAUUUUCACCACAGAUUCUGCACCCGAAGACAACAGCAAAGUUUUUCUUUCUUCCCUUCGAAGAUCUAAGGGUCAUGGUUCAGCUGACCACACAGCGAUCAGCAACCUGCCUUUUUCAAGUUCCAUCCACAGUCUACGGUUUAAGCCAUGCCGUGAUUAACCCUGACACGUGGCCUCUUCUCCAGAAAACCCUUCCAGGCUGCAGACAAGUCUGUCUUACUCAAUUAAAUACUGGCUGCCUGGAUCCGGAUUUGGCCGGAAGCUACCCUAAAGGACUUGAUGUUGAAAGAAGACUGUCUUUGGGGGGAAGGUAGACGUUUCCCGUGUGUAAAAGUUGCUUUGUGUUACAUUGUCUUACAUUGUCUUUUGUUCAUGCCUCUGUGUUGUGUGUUUUGUGUUACAUUGUUUUGGUUUGGUUUUACACCUGUGGGGUGUGUCUGUGUGUGUGUGUGUGCGCGCGUGCAGGUGCCUGUGUUUGCAUAUGUGCAUAUGUUUCUGAGUGUAUAUGAGUAUAUGCAUGUGGAGGACAGAAGUUGAUAUCGGGUGUCUUCCUCUAUAACUCUCUGCCUUAUCUUUUGGGGCAAGGUCUCUCACUGAACCUAAUACUCAUCAAUUUGGCUAGGCUAGCAAGCCAGCAAGCCCCCAGGGAUCCUUGUGGUUCUCCCUCCCCAGAUCUAGGAUUACAGAUGCUCAGCAUGUUUAAGUGGACACUAGGGAUCUAAAAUCAGUCCUCACAUUGGCAAUGAACCAUCUCUCCAGCCUGCUUUGGUUUUGGGGUUUCUUUAUUUUGGGGUGUGUGUGUGUGUGUGUGUGUGUGUGUGUGUGUGUGUGUGUGCGUUUCCAAAUGAAAGCAUCCUACGAUCAAUUAAUUUAGGCAAGAAUUAAUUUUAUUUAAUUAAUUUUAAAUCAGGAAUCCACAUGCCUGAGAGGAUGAGGCAGAACCUUCGGGGGUGAGUUUGAGGCCAAUUUGGACGACAGCCAGACCUUGCCUCCAUCAAUCCAUUUAUCAUUAAAUCAGUAGUAAUUUUAGUCAUUCCUCUGGGUGGAUUGUUCAGCCUCCUCCAAGGAGAGGAUGGGAUGUAAAUAAAAGGAUAACUUCAGAGACAAUGUCUGUGUGAGGAAAUGCAGGGAAAGAUGACUGAGGUACCUUUUGUGGUUUCUCUCUUGCUCCCCCUCAACUAGACCAAUGAAGCUUUGAGUUUGUUCCUCUUUGUAAACAUUCAGCACCAACCCUUUCUCAGUUGUGUUUCCUGUUGUGGUAAGGCACCCUGACGAAGUCAUUAAAGGAAGUGCCGAUUUGGCUCAUAGUUUACCAUGGCGGCAGGAGCUUCAGGUAACUGUUCAUAUUGUGUCUGCAGUUCAAAGGCAGAGAGAGAGGAGUGCUUUGUGUCCAGCUCUCAUUUUCCUUGUUGUAGAGUGUGUAGCAUCCCAGCUAGGGGAUGACGCCACCCACUAUGGACAGACCCUUCUACCUUAAGUAACCUAACCAAGACAGCUUCCCACAGACAAGCUCAGAGGCCCGGCUUCCUGGAUGAUUCUAUAUGUCAUCACAUUGACAACUGAGUUUAACCAUCACAACACCCCACCCUCAAACUGCCUUUUUUUUUUUUUAUCUAUGAUGUAUUUUCUAUUUGUUAUCCUCAUAUCCCUCCACCCUGGUCACCUCAUUAUAAAUAAGUCACUUUUUUACAAAGGCAAGUUCAGCCACUCUCGUACACACACACACACACACACACACACACACACACACCUACCUCACAACAUUGGAUUUUCAGGCACAAAUAUGACUGCAUUCAGAAUUUUAAAGGGAUGAAGGAUCUUCAGACUCAGGUCCUCAUACUCGAUCAGCAAGCAUCGAUCUUUCUAGCCCCAUAGGUUAUAUCUUGAUUGGUAAGAUUAAUUUACGGGGUCGGGGAGAUGGCUCAGUGGUUAAGAGCACUGAUUGCUCUUCCAGAGGUCCUGAGUUCAAAUCCCAGCACCCACAUGGUGGCUCAUAGCCAUCUGUAAUGGGAAUCCGAUGUCCUUUUCUGGUGUGUCUGAAGACAGCCACAGUGUGUUCACAUAGAAUAAAUAAAUCUUUAAAAGACAAAAGAAAAAAAGGAAAGGAAAGAUUACUGGGUGGUGGUGGCGCUUGCCUUUAAUCCCAGCACUUGGGAGGCAAAGACUGGCAGAGCUCUGUGAGUUCAAGGACAGCCUAGUUUACAGAGAGCUAAUUUAUGAUAUAGAAAGGCAAAGACAUUUCAGUCAACCAUACAAGUACAUGCCUCCUAUAACACGAGUAUUUAGAAGUCAGAAGCAAGAAUGUAGGGGUUUGAGGCUAGCCUGAGCUAGGGGACCCAGUUGGAAAAAAAAAAAAAAAGCAAGGUCCACAAGAAGAUAGUUUCUAAAACAUCACUCACUGUGUUCUCAUAAUCUGGAAUGAUCCAAAUGAUUUAAGAAUAUCCUAUUCUUUAUUCUAUUAAAGCCUACACACACACACACACACACACACACACACAUAUAUACAUAUACAUAUAUGUAUAUGUAUGUAUGUAUAUAUGUUUGUCAACUCCUCCCACGCCUUAUAUAGUGAGCUUGUGAAGAGAUCCUCCAAACCCUGGUGCAGACCAAAGACCUACACCCUAAGCCUGAGAUACACGUGUAGCUGCAGGGCUGUGAGGAGGGGGUCUAAGAAAGAUAAGACCAAAUCACCAGUGUCUCAGUUUUCCUCUCUAAAUGGCUUCUGCAAGCCAGGUUAAGGGAGCCAAGUUGAAAGCCAAACACAGACAACAGCUGUCGAGGAUGUCUCUGUAGCCAGGAAGCUGGGUGUGGUCACCCAGAAGCCAACUUCUAACCCCACCCUAGGAGCCAGUGAGAGGCUGGGAAGAGAUCUUCCCGAAUUGCAUUCCCUCCCUCCCUGCUGGCUUCAGGAUCAUGCCAGAGACGGGCUGCAAGCUACAUGACAGUCCUACACAGUCCCCUUUUGCAAUGUUUUCCUGAAGACACUAAGCUUCUGAAAAUCCCACAUCCAGACAGCCAAGACUCAGGGCAGACCUGCAAUGACCGCUUAGCCCUGCCCAUAGCCAAGAGUAUGAGGCAUGAGUCAAUGCCACUAUCGGUGUCAAGGGGCCGAGUGGACCUGACUUGCAUGCGUCUUUCCUGCAUUGUGCAAGUCAGGAGUGAACUCCACAGGCAUCUCUGUUCCCUUCCACAACUUCCUAGGAGCCCUGUGGACAGGACCAUGAACUGUCAUGACUCAAUUCACCAUCCCUUUUCUUGGAAACCCUGGUGGCUCCAUUCUCCAGAAAGAAUCCAUCAAAAGCAUUUCUUUGCUGAAGUCAUCUGGCAAAAACUCCCAUCAUCAAAUUCCCCAUGCUGGGCUCUCUGCUUCACUGUGUAACAACAGACUCAAGGAUGGAUUACAAAUUAAUUUUUGUUUGGGGGGGUGGGAUUGGUUUUGGGGCUUUUGGUUUGUUUGUUUGAUUGAGUUGUGGUUUUGAAACAUGGUUUCUCUGUUGUGUGAUUCAGGUGUCCUAGAACUAGCGCUGUAGACCAGACUGGCCUCGAACUCACCUGUCUCUGUCUCCCGAGAGCUGCGAUUAGAGUGUGGUACCACUGCCUGGCUCUCUUACCUUUUUAAAUCAUGAAAAAUUUCAGACCCUUCCACUGGGGAAGAAAGAUAUGCACAGCGUCAGUUGGCUUCUUGUACUCUGUGGGCCCCAGGGGUCAGACUUGGGCCAUCAGACUGGUUGGCAAGAAGCUUUACCCACUGAGUGGUCUCUCCAUCCCUUGCCCGAGUUUUUGAAAAGUGCGGGGCAAAUGCAACAGUGUUUCAUUCCUCAGUACUUCAGCUUUCAUCUCUGGCGAGCACUGGCUUCUCUCUCUAACAACUUCAGCAGGAACCACUAGUUCCUUAGUAGCAACUGGUUAGUCGUUAUCUACAUUCAUUCAAUAAACCGUGGAAACUAUACUUUUUAUUUCAUGGAAUUACAGUCAACAGAGCAAUACUUGGGAUCAUAAACUCCCCUGAGGGAAAAAAAUCAGAAACGCCCUGCCCCUAAGAAUACUGUGAUUUGCAUUUUCACAGUGAAAAGGGGCUCAGCCAUCCAGAGUAAGCAGUAGACCGGAAGCCUGCAGCCCUUGCAGGGAGAAGUGAAGGGCAGGCAUGGGAGGGGAUGGCUUUUCUUCCUUUUUUGGACACUCAGGAGACUUUAAAAGGGCUUUGGCAUCACUUCCUUGUCUGCACAUCUAUUUUUCUUCUUAACUAAUUUUUAAAGGACUAUUGUCAAGUUCCAGGUAAAGGGAGUACCUUAAAAAUAGACACUAUUCUGCAGAAACAUUUUGGAAAAUCCAGUGUCUGGGUGUCUACUAGCAUGUGUGUAGAACAGACAGGAACUGGUCUUCAUGUACGGUAAUCGCAGUGAAGGGUUUUCAAUUUUUAAUUUCUUUUGUUCUGAGUGUUCUGCCUUUGCAGUCUCCACUUACUCUGCACAUCUAGACUCAGGAGAACUUAAAGCGGGUCACGUUCACCUCGGUAAAAGUGGGACCUAAGAGUUGGAGAAGUAGCUCAGUGGGUAAAGUUGCUUGUCACACAAGCCUCAAGACCUGAGUUUGAUCUCUAGAACUGGCAUGAUAGGAAGCAAUCACACACACACACACACACACACACACACACACACACACACACACACACAUCCAUACAUGCCUUCAUGCACAAAAAUGAUAAUGCGGUUAUUUUUUAAUUCUUAAGUGGAAAGUCACAAGCACAGCUUGUGGAAUGCCUUUGCCUCAAGGACAAGCUGACAAACCCAGCCCAACUCCCCCAAAUCCCAAAUAGACUUUAGGCCACUACCUGUGUGUGGCUAGGCCUCUGACCCAGAUCACCAGCCACUUGACCGGCACAAGGGUCUGUGAACUUUCCCUUCACUUAACUCCUGUUCUUUUCUGCUGUUGCCUUCUUCCGGCUUUUCUUCACUUUAUGCAAGAGUGUGCCAGGGGUUAGGUCACUUACACAGAAGAGCCGCCAGGAGCUGGAGUGAGGUGAGGGCUAUGCCUAACAAGAUGGACAGCGCCUGAUAAGCAGACCGGCCCUACGCCCAGCCCUUGCUAAGACGAGCUCAGUUUCUGUAGACUUCAGCUCCCCCGCUGGAAAUGUGUUGGGGGUGUCUUCAUGAUUUAUGUCUCUGCCCACUUUGCUCUUCUCUGAUCUCUCCACACGAACUCGAUUAUUCAGUCUGGCUUUUCUGACACUCUGGCAUCAGCAGGCAGUCCGCUGCCAGUGCAGAGCCCUUUACUCUGCUCUGUCUGUCUCUGUUCCUCUUAUCAUAGUUAAUUAUCAGUUGUCACCACCGCACCCCACCCGUCCAACACAUGCCCAGAGCGGUGUGCAAGCACCAAGAACUCUUGCGUAGCACGGAAGGUCUCCUUCAGAGCAAAGGCUUCUCCUUUUCUUCUACAUAUAAGUGAAUCCAUAGGGAGAUGUUUCCAGAGACAGUACACCCCAGAGUAAUACCUCUCUUCUAAACCUCUGUCCCCUAAGGAAGUCAACAGAACAUGUGUCAUUUGUUCCCGAACUUUGUCCCUGCCUUGCAGGGAUCUACCUGACCCUUCCCAACUGCUUGGCGUUAACAAAAACAUUCAGGCACGUAGGCGUUUAGAGUAACCCAUCCCUCUGGAGCUGUACCACAGAAAGGUGUUCCCUCAACACAAAGGUUUAUUACUUUCUUCCCCCACAGAAAAAACACAGGAAUAUUUCCUUCUUGACUGCUGCUAAAGAACCGGCCAGACACUUCCUCCUUGGCGGUACGAGAAGACUUUACGAUAGCGUUUGAAACUUUACCUCCACACACCUGCCUCAUAACCUUUCCCUCUUCCAACAGCUCUUCUAUUUCCUCAGAGUCAGGGCUUUGUGGCUGCCUCCCCAGGCAGCUGGGGCUCUGGGUCCCUGUUGCUAUUAAUAAUGGAUGGGUCUUAUUGAAUUGCACACCUGCCAGAAACCAGGCACGGCGAUUAACGAACUGGCUGGAGUUUUUGGUCGAGGUGGCUGUUUUUUAAUUUUUUGUGGGCCGCGUGCAUAUUGCAGAGUUCGCUUUCUCCUGCUUUCGCAUGUUUUCUGGGGAUUGAACUCAGGUCAUCGAGUUUGUGUGGCAAGCCACCAAAUCAUCCGGCUGGCCCUGGGCUUGAGUUUUUAGCCAGUCUAUCUGCUGCCUGGACAGUCACUGUCUGUACUCAGGGCAGAGUCUGCUUCGUGCCUCUGCUGCUGCUCGUAGACUUUCACAAGUGUAUUUGCAGAAAGGGAGUUGGUUUUCCACUCGCAGAGCCAGUCCCUUGCUAGCUGGUUCUUCCUCAUUCACCUGCUCCUAAUCUGCGGGCUGGGUACCGUGGACUCUGGCCUGUGACUCAGAGCUGCCACCUUCCCUAGAUGUGACACCGAUGGUGGCCUGAGGGCUGCAGUAGACAGAAUAAUGAUCUCCAAGAAUGCCUACAUCUUGGAACCUGUGAGUCUGUUUCCUUACAUGGUCUUUGCAGAUAUGAUUAAGCUAGGGACCUUGAGAUGGAGAGAUUACCCUGGAUUAGCCUGGAAAGCACGCUGUAAUCACGAAGGUCCUUAUAAGGGCAGGAGCAAAGCAGGAGAGUCAGAGGAGUGAGGACUGCAGUGAGGUUGGAGGGGCCAAGGAAUGCAGGCAGCCUUCGCAAUCUGAGAAGGCUAAGAGAAUAUUUGCUGCUGGAUUCGAACCUCCUGAAAAGCGCUGCCCACACUGUUGCCUCCAUUUCAGGCUUGAAGACUUCUAGAUCAGGAGACUAAUCCAUAUGAGGUGUUUUCAGUCGUCAAGUGUGAGGUAGCAUACACCUGCAACACCAAGGUCACAGAGGGAAGCCAUUGCUAUAAAAAGUGCGGCAGACGCAGCACCGCAAAAGACAAAACUCUAAGCCUGACUGCUUCCUAGUGGACCACCUUCGCCAUGUCCUCACGACAUACGUUUCAGCCCGCCCUUGUCCCUGCUCCCUUGGAUCCUGCUACAGGGAGAUACUCUGUAAGUCUCAGCUGGCGUUCACCAGCUUGGUCCUUGCCCUCAGAGUUCCUGAAGAAAGAUGAACUUAGCUACCCUCAGGCUGAGCCAUAGCAAACUUCAAGUCUCUACGCCCUGUUCUCUCCUCCUCUCUCCUCUUAGGGUUUUAUCACCUUGGAACAGCUCUUAGAGGAGGGGGGUGGGGAGGGAAAACAGCCUUAGUCUAAAUCUGUUAGUAAUUGCCUCUUCCCACAACAAGCUGCUGAGAAUUUGAGAAGUGUGAGCUUUUUCUUCUUCUAAGAAGGACCCUCUUCCACCACCCCCCACCCCCAAGUGCAUAUACUACCUUUUUUUUUUUUUUAAAAUUCUGGAGGUCUAACCUAGGGCAUGUUGCAUGCUAAAUCCACAUUAUACCACAAAGAAACCUUCAGCCAGAUUAUCUCUUCCUUAAAACUUUUAUUACAUUUAUCUGUUAUUUGUGCAUGCGUGUGUUCCGAUAAAUGCCACAGCCCGAGUGUGGAGGUCAGAGGACAACUUGCAGGGGUCACUCCUCUCUUCUACCAGGUAGAUCUCAGGACCCAACUCCCACUGUCAGGUUGCAGCCCACGCACCCUCUCAACAGCCUGUCUUUGUACUUUUCUGUUGCUCUUACUCAUUUUGGGUUCCGUUGUUGUGGGCAGUUGUGAGCUUCCUGGCUUGAGUGAUAGGAACCAAGCUCUGGCCCUCUACAAGAGAAGCAAAUGCUCUUAACCACUGGGCCAGGUCUGCAGCCCCUGUUCGUUUUUGAGAUGAGGUCUUAUGCUGGAUAAGCACUCUUCUAACUGAACUACAUCCUUAGCCCCUGGUUUAUUUCUGUUUGUUUGUGGGGUUUUCUUUUGGUUUGUGGGGGUGGGGGACUGCUUUGUGUUUGUUUUGUGUUUGUUUGUUUGUUUGUUUGUUUGUUUGCCUUUUCCAGACUGGCUAAGUGGAUCUUCCUGGCCUAGAACUCACUCUGUACAGAGGCUGGCCUUGAACUCAUGAUCCUUCUGACUCAGCCUUCUAAGUUCUGGGCUCAUAGGUAUAUACUACCAAAGUCAGCCAGUAUCUCUUAAAAAACAAAACAAACAGCACCAUUCAUUUAUUUAUUUAUUUGCCAGGAAGUGGCAUGAACCCGACGGGGGGGGGGGGGGUGGAGGUGUCAAAGGUUAAAGGGCAAAGAGUCAGGUCUCUCCUACCAGGUUAAGUCGCAGGGAUAGAAUUCAGAUAGUCAGGCUUGGAGGCAAAGGCCUUUAUCUGCUGAGCCAUCUCACUGGCCCAGAUGCCUCUUAGUGGUCACACAGGACCCUUUUCUUCUCACCAGGGUUAUUUUCCUAACCAAGGAAGAGGGCAAACCUGAUCAAGCACGGGCACCAUGAGCUAAUUACUUCAAUUAAAACAGACUCCAACUCUGGGCAUUGAAGACUUUCACAAGGAAGAAUUGUUGGCUGAAGACUCCAGUUAUUCUUACCGCCAUUCACUACACAAUGCUGGUUGCAGGGUAAUUAUUGUACUAUAAACCAUGGUACUUUCUGUACUUGUUUACUGGGCGCCAGGAACGCCACUAAAUUUUUUACCUAUUUUAGCUCACUGAAGCUUUUCCCAUGAGACUGGGACGGCCAUUAUCCCUACUUCGAAGAUGAAGAGAUUAUGGUGAUGGAGAUUCAGGACACUGCUGGAGCUCAGACUGCUAAGAGGAGGUGAAGUCAGGGCUCUACAGGGUUGCCUGGAAGUCAUGCCCUCUCUACCACACUUGCUGCCCACACUUGAUAAAGGGCUUUCGAGUGUACACUGGGUUUCUAUUCCCAGAUUAAAGAUUCAUGACCAAUUUGACCACUGUGGGAAUUACAGGGUUUUUUUUUUUCUGGUACAGGGUUUCUCUGUGUAGCCCUGGGUGUCCUAGAACUCAUUCUGUAGACCAGGCUAGCCUCAAACUCAGAGAUCCACCUGCCUCUGCCUCCCAAGUGCUAGGAUUAAAGGCGUGCACUGCCACCCAGCUAACA